RNAcentral lists this ribosomal RNA (490 nucleotides) under uncultured bacterium. RNAcentral's name for it is "partial 16S ribosomal RNA". It matches the Rfam family "Bacterial small subunit ribosomal RNA", at positions 30 to 507 of the family's 1533-position model. The record is from RNAcentral.
AUUGAACGCUGGCGGCAGGCCUAACACAUGCAAGUCGAACGGUAACAGGAAGAAGCUUGCUUCUUUGCUGACGAGUGGCGGACGGGUGAGUCAUGUCUGUGAAACUGCCUGAUGGAGGGGGAUAACUACUGGAAACGGUAGCUAAUACCGCAUAACGUCGCAAGACCAAAGAGGGGGACCUUCGGGCCUCUUUCCAUCGGAUGUGCCCAGAUGGGAUUAGCUAGUAGGUGGGGUAACGGCUCACCUAGGCGACGAUCCCUAGCUGGUCUGAGAGGAUGACCAGCCACACUGGAACUGAGACACGGUCCAGACUCCUACGGGAGGCAGCAGUGGGGAAUAUUGCACAAUGGGCGCAAGCCUGAUGCAGCAAUGCCGCGUGUAUGAAGAAGGCCUUCGGGUUGUAAAGUACUUUCAGCGGGGAGGAAGGGAGUAAAGUUAAUACCUUUGCUCAUUGACGUUACCCGAAGAAGAAGCACCGGCUAACUCCGUG